Molecule: microRNA precursor, 160 nt
Filed under: Oryza sativa (Asian cultivated rice)
Lineage: Eukaryota; Viridiplantae; Streptophyta; Magnoliopsida; Poales; Poaceae
Source: RNAcentral
GAAACUACCGUUGAAUCGAAAAAUAGACGUCCGAGAUUCGUCCACGUCACCAUGAGUUAAAAUUUAACUCGCAGAUUCACUCAUGAGUUAAAAUUUUACUAGGAGUUAAAUUUUAACUCAUGAUGACGUGGACGAAUCUCGGACGUCCAUUUCUCGAUCC